CUUCCAGACUCCUACGGGAGGCAGCAGUGGGGAAUAUUGCACAAUGGGGGAAACCCUGAUGCAGCGACGCCGCGUGAGUGAAGAAGUAAUUCGUUAUGUAAAGCUCUAUCAGCAGGGAAGAAAAUGACGGUACCUGAGUAAGAAGCCCCGGCUAACUACGUGCCAGCAGCCGCGGUAAUACGUAGGGGGCAAGCGUUAUCCGGAUUUACUGGGUGUAAAGGGAGCGUAGACGGCAGUGCAAGUCUGGAGUGAAAGGCGGGGGCUCAACCCCCGGACUGCUCUGGAAACUGUACGGCUGGAGUGCAGGAGAGGUAAGUGGAAUUCCUAGUGUAGCGGUGAAAUGCGUAGAUAUUAGAAAGAACACCAAUAGCGUAGGCAGGUUACUGGGACGGUUCUGACACUAAGGCACGAAAGCGUAGGGAGCAAACGGGAUUAGAUACCCGAGUAUU
RNAcentral lists this ribosomal RNA (449 nucleotides) under uncultured bacterium. RNAcentral describes it as "partial 16S ribosomal RNA". It matches the Rfam family "Bacterial small subunit ribosomal RNA", at positions 328 to 794 of the family's 1533-position model. The record is from RNAcentral.